RNAcentral lists this unclassified non-coding RNA (400 nucleotides) under uncultured Glomus. Its description in RNAcentral is "SSU rRNA". It matches the Rfam family "Eukaryotic small subunit ribosomal RNA", at positions 569 to 968 of the family's 1831-position model. Lineage: Eukaryota; Fungi; Glomeromycota; Glomeromycetes; Glomerales; Glomeraceae. The record is from RNAcentral.
AGCAGCCGCGGUAAUUCCAGCUCCAAUAGCGUAUAUUAAAGUUGUUGCAGUUAAAAAGCUCGUAGUUGAAUUUCGGGAUUAACGUAAUGGUCGUGCCUUAAGGGGUAUGAACUGUUACUGUUGAUUUCUCACCUUCUGGAGAAUCUUGAUGUCCUUAAUUGGGUGUCUUGUGGAUCCAGGACCUUUACCUUGAAAAAUUGAGUGUUUAAAGCAGGCAUUUUGCUCGAAUACAUUAGCAUGGAAUAAUAGAAUAGGACGGUCAUGGUUCUAUUUUGUUGGUUUCUAGGAUAACCGUAAUGAUUAAUAGGGAUAGUUGGGGGCAUUAGUAUUCAAUUGUCAGAGGUGAAAUUCUUGGAUUUAUUGAAGACUAACUACUGCGAAAGCAUUUGCCAAGGAUGUC